GACGAACGCUGGCGGCGUGCUUAACACAUGCAGGUCGAACGGAAAGGCCCUGCUUUUGUGGGGUGCUCGAGUGGCGAACGGGUGAGUAACACGUGAGUAACCUGCCCUUGACUUUGGGAUAACUUCAGGAAACUGGGGCUAAUACCGGAUAGGAGCUCCUGCUGCAUGGUGGGGGUUGGAAAGUUUCGGCGGUUGGGGAUGGACUCGCGGCUUAUCAGCUUGUUGGUGGGGUAGUGGCUUACCAAGGCUUUGACGGGUAGCCGGCCUGAGAGGGUGACCGGCCACAUUGGGACUGAGAUACGGCCCAGACUCCUACGGGAGGCAGCAGUGGGGAAUAUUGCACAAUGGGCGGAAGCCUGAUGCAGCAACGCCGCGUGGGGGAUGACGGCCUUCGGGUUGUAAACCGCUUUCGCCUGUGACGAAGCGUGAGUGACGGUAAUGGGUAAAGAAGCACCGGCUAACUACGUG
This 468-nucleotide ribosomal RNA is filed under the name uncultured bacterium. Its description in RNAcentral is "partial 16S ribosomal RNA". It matches the Rfam family "Bacterial small subunit ribosomal RNA", at positions 28 to 507 of the family's 1533-position model. The record is from RNAcentral.